CCUACGGGCGGCAGCAGUAAGGAAUCUUGCGCAAUGGGCGAAAGCCUGACGCAGCGACGCCGCGUGGGCGAUGAAGGCCUUCGGGUUGUAAAGCCCUUUUCUGGGGGACGAGGAAGGACGGUACCCCAGGAAUAAGUCACGGCUAACUACGUGCCAGCAGCCGCGGUAAAACGUAGGUGGCAAGCGUUAUCCGGAAUCACUGGGCGUAAAGGGCGUCUAGGCGGACGGGUAAGUCGUGCGUGAAAGCUUCCGGCGCAACCGGGAGAGGUCGUACGAUACUGCCUGUCUUGAGGGUCGGAGAGGGACGUGGAAUUCCCGGUGUAGCGGUAAAAUGCGUAGAGAUCAUGAAGACCACCGGUUGCGAAGGCGAUCAUCUGGCUCGUUACUGACGCUCAGGGACGAAAGCGUGGGGAGCAAACAGGAUUAGAUCCCCGGGUAGU
This 440-nucleotide ribosomal RNA is filed under the name uncultured Anaerolineae bacterium. RNAcentral's name for it is "partial 16S ribosomal RNA". It matches the Rfam family "Bacterial small subunit ribosomal RNA", at positions 338 to 794 of the family's 1533-position model. Lineage: Bacteria; Bacillati; Chloroflexota; Anaerolineae. The record is from RNAcentral.